RNAcentral lists this ribosomal RNA (264 nucleotides) under uncultured bacterium. RNAcentral's name for it is "partial 16S ribosomal RNA". It matches the Rfam family "Bacterial small subunit ribosomal RNA", at positions 793 to 1055 of the family's 1533-position model. The record is from RNAcentral.
GUCCACGCUGUAAACGAUGGAUACUAGACGUGGCGGGUCUUGACCCCUGCCGUGUCGACGUUAACACAAUAAGUAUCCCGCCUGGGGAGUACGGUCGCAAGACUAAAACUCAAAGGAAUUGACGGGGGCCCGCACAAGCGGUGGAUCAUGUGGUUUAAUUCGAAGCAACGCGAAGAACCUUACCUGGAUUUGACAUCUGCUUAAGUUAGUAGAGAUAUUAACGGCCCGCAAGGGACAGCAAGACAGGUGCUGCAUGGCUGUCGU